UGCUUGGAAGCUUUAUAUAAACCCGUCUAUACAGAUGCAAUGUUGGAAGAGAGAGUGAUAAUAUUGGUGGUAGAAGGCACUUGAAAAUCUGAAGACUUAAGCCAUGGAGAGGAACUACUUUGGUCUUGUUUUGUUCUUCAUCAUCCUCUUAACUUCUAACGAGAUGGUGAUGCACAGUGAAGCUAGGGUUUGUGAAGUUCCAAGCAAAACAUUCAGAGGGUUAUGCUUCAGCGAUACCCAUUGUAUCGUGAAAUGCCACAGUGAGGGUUUCGGUUACGGCAAAUGCUCCCAUGUCCUGCGUCAGUGCCGGUGCCUAAAGGCUUGUGGGCGGCUAGCUGAAAGUGAAACUACUCAUGGAACUGAAACCUCACCAUAAAUUAAGCUCCAGACGUCGAUCCCAUGUCCUGAAUAUAUUAUAAUUAGAUAAAUAAUCAGCCUCAUUUUGGCGUCGGCCGGACGUCAAAAAUAUAAGGGCCAACUUUGUAGGUUGUUCAAAUCGAGAACUCCUUGGUAACUCAAAUAUAUAUGAUCCAAGGAUUAAUAAGCUCUCUGAAUAAGAGCUUUUCAGUUUCCAACUUCUUCUGCUGUAUAGCGAAAUGUUUCAAUAUGCCAGAAACAUAACUCGAUAUAUAUACCAAAGUUACAAUA
Malus domestica (apple) is the source of this 648-nucleotide long non-coding RNA. RefSeq lists it as uncharacterized. The record is from RefSeq and is a predicted model, not a curated record. Lineage: Eukaryota; Viridiplantae; Streptophyta; Magnoliopsida; Rosales; Rosaceae.